GCGAGCGUUAAUCGGAAUUACUGGGCGUAAAGCGCAUGCAGGCGGCCUCGUUAAGUCAGAUGUGAAAGCCCGGGGCGUUAACCUCGGAAUUGCAUUUGUAAACUGGCAGGCUAGAGUCUUGUAGAGGGGGGUAGGAAGUUUCAGGUGUAGCGGUGAAAUGCGUAGAGAUCUGAAGGAAUACCAGUGGCGAAGGCGGCCCCCCUCGGACAAAGACUGACGCUCAGAUGCGAAAGCGUGGGGAGCAAACAGGAUUAGAUACCCCUGGUAG
Molecule: ribosomal RNA, 268 nt
Filed under: uncultured bacterium
Lineage: Bacteria
Description: partial 16S ribosomal RNA
Rfam family: Bacterial small subunit ribosomal RNA
Source: RNAcentral